This 859-nucleotide ribosomal RNA is filed under the name uncultured bacterium. RNAcentral's name for it is "bacterial SSU rRNA". It matches the Rfam family "Bacterial small subunit ribosomal RNA", at positions 21 to 901 of the family's 1533-position model. The record is from RNAcentral.
GGCUCAGGAUGAACGCUGGCGGCGUGCUUAACACAUGCAAGUCGAACGGACGUCUUGGGAAACUGGGACGUUAGUGGCAAACGGGUGCGUAACACGUGGGUGACCUACCCCAAAGUGGGGAACAACGGACCGAAAGGUUCGCUAAUACCGCAUAAGCUCGAUGAUUCACUUUGUCGAGUAAAGCCGUAAGGCGCUUUGGGAGGGGCCCGCGGCCCAUCAGGUAGUUGGUGAGGUAAUGGCCCACCAAGCCGAUGACGGGUAGCUGGUCUGAGAGGAUGAUCAGCCACACUGGCACUGAGAUACGGGCCAGACUCCUACGGGAGGCAGCAGUGAGGAAUAUUGCGCAAUGGGGGAAACCCUGACGCAGCGACGCCGCGUGGGCGACGAAGGCCUUCGGGUCGUAAAGCCCUUUUGUCAGGGACGAGUGAGGACGGUACCUGGCGAAUAAGUCUCGGCUAACUACGUGCCAGCAGCCGCGGUAAAACGUAGGAGGCGAGCGUUAUCCGGAUUCACUGGGCGUAAAGCACGCGUAGGCGGUUGGUUAAGUCGGAUGUGAAAGCCCCUGGCUCAACUGGGGGAGGUCAUUCGAUACUGGCCGGCUUGAGGGUGAGAGAGGGGAGUGGAAUUCCCGGUGUAGCGGUGGAAUGCGUAGAGAUCGGGAGGAACACCAGUGGCGAAGGCGGCUCCCUGGCUCACUCCUGACGCUGAGAGCGCGAAAGCGUGGGGAGCAAACGGGAUUAGAUACCCCGGUAGUCCACGCUCUAAACGAUGAGGGCUAGGUGUUGGUGGGAUUUCCCAUCUGUGCCGAAGCAAACGCGUUAAGCCCUCCGCCUGGGGACUACGAAACGCAGUUAAAACU